Long non-coding RNA from Lolium perenne, 1319 nucleotides. RefSeq lists it as uncharacterized. The record is from RefSeq and is a predicted model, not a curated record. Lineage: Eukaryota; Viridiplantae; Streptophyta; Magnoliopsida; Poales; Poaceae.
AGCAGAGAAGAGAACAGUUGCUCAAUGUCACCAUCUCUGUUCUUAUCCAGCUAUCAGUCUCUCUCUGUUUAGACGAAGAUACCAAAUCCCCUCGCAAACGCUCCUCCGAUGGCUUAGCCCAGCCCGAGCGCCAGCUCCUCUGCAAAGCUAGGCGCGGCGGCGGCGGCGGUCAAGAGCGACUGCACGCCCAUCAGAUUCCACCAGGUGCGGCGCCCCUCCUCUCCUCCUCUUCCUUGCCGUUCGGAGUUAAACGCGAAGCCUCUGCCGGCCUGCAGCACGUAGCGGCCACCCCUCCCUCGGUUCUCCCUGCGGCCAGCUCUUCACGCCAAUGCGUCGCCGCCGCCCCUUUCCCCGCCACGACUUCUCCUUUCCGCUUCCUCUCCACACGACGGCUUCGUCCGACACCUCCUCUCCCUGCCCUAGGGUCAAUGGCCUCUUCCCCUCCCUGCACUGCACAAGUGCUACAGCCGGCUCGUUGCAAGCGUGAAGCGUGGCUGGUGCCGGAACAGACUUUGCAACUGUUGUGGAUUGACGCAUAGAUUUUAGUAGCUUCAUGCAACUGUUGUGAACUGACGCAUAAGUUUGAUACAUAUCAUCAUGGUAAAUCUCAAUGAAGUUGCACCUGAGUUUUUUUUUUAUGUUGUACAUUGCUGGCCAGUGGCUUUAGUUUCCUCUUUGUCCCCACAAGUUCAUUACAUGUUAUGUUGCUACCUUCAUGUAUCAUCUACUACAUCUCAUCCAUGGUCUAGCCCUGGAAAACUUGCUGAUUCAUCUCUUUACGUGCAUUUCAGAAGGUGUACAUGAAUUUCUUACCAAAAACUCAUCUUUAACAGUACAUAUUUGUCUGCAAGGACUCUAGCUCGGUGCUUUUAAUUCAAUACCACUGUGACACAACUUCAUAUAUUACCUCAAGAGCUUCAUAGAGGUGCAAGCCAUAAUGAUGACAAGGUCCUUCUUCUUGCUGCUACAAAUACUCUAUAUGCUCUCGAUCAGAUAUAGAACAUCUAUCAAUUAUUCACCUGCAUGAUCUUAACGCCAGGCAACGCAUGUUCAAGGCACAUGAUCCCAUGAUUGAGCGCAUCAUCGCUCAAGGUCUCAGGGGAAGGUUGUUCUGACUGCUGACAACAACAGAACUUAUGAAGCUCAACUCGAUAUUUCUAUGGGGAAGGCCGGGACGCACAAAAAUUGGGAGGAUAUGUUGUUAGGAUGGUGUAUUAUAUGCUGGUGAAAUUAAUUAUCGCUGGAAGUAAUGGUCAUCGAUUGAUGGCGAAAGAAACUGUCCUCAAUGGUGGCGAUAACUGAAGGUUAACUUUUUUUUA